AGCUUGCUAUGUAACCCAGGCCAGUCUUGGAUUUGCUGUUCUGCCUCUGCCUCCUGAGUAGCCAAGAUUACAAGAGCACUCCACCAAGUCUGGCUGACAAUGUUCUGUGUAGAACUUGGACCAAGUCUGGGCUUCAGAGACAGUUUGGCUUUGCCUUCACCAGGUGCCACACCAGGGCAGAAAAGUACAACAUGGAGAAUCUGAGGUUGGGAUCCUCCUUAGAUGACUGUGUAUACUUGUAAAUAAAUGAAGCAGGUAUGCCCCCAGAGUUCUAUAUCAGAGGGAGCCAAGAAAAACUGAGUGGAUCAGGAGGAGGAAGGGGCAUGGGACUCCACCAUCUCUGAGAAAAGCCAACUGCAGGGCCCUUGCUUUAUGAAAAGCAGUGGAGACACCCAGUCACUUCUGCAGCAUAGAAGUGACACCCUUUGGACACAUAGCUGAGUGCAGGCCAUCAGAUCCUAGGAUUUCUUGGCCUGGGUCUAGGGACAUCUGGCUUCCUCACAUGCCUGGAUCCUAAUUCCAAUGUAGUUUUAGAAACGAGAAGAAAGAGGGUUCAGACAUACAGCUCAGAUUUCUAGCCUUCAGCCAUUUGCAUUCUGUCACCAUGUCUAUUUUACAAUCAGAUAGACACUUUGGGGUGCUGAGGAGGACACCAGGAGUAGGUGGGAAAGAGUGGGAGGGGCCACCCCGUAACAGCAGUUGCUUCUCAGGCAGGAAAGCCCAUGAACCACAGAUAGAGGCCCAGGAAAGAGUACAUUAACAGGCAGGUGCUGGGUUCAGUGACUCCGGCAGACUUGAUGGUGCCAGACUAGGGAUGCCAGCUGAUCUAUCUGCAGGUAUCAGAAAGUGAGACUGUCAGUGUGAAAGAGGUGAGAUACUGAGAAAUCGCUGUAGUUUCUGUUUUCCCACUCCCAGGGAGGAGCAAAACUGAAGGACAGGUAAUUCCCUCCCUUUCUUUCCAGGAAAAGCAAGCAGGGCUUUGUAUUUCAAGACCUUGAUGCCCUGACCCCAGGCGGGGGAUUUCCAGUUCUUUGUGAAUCUAGCCCACCUAGGGGAAUUGAGGAGCCUUCCAAGGAGGGGGUAGCAGUUACUGCCUUAGUCGGGACAAAGGUUCUUUAAAGGAGGCUGCAGAUUCAGAGAGGAGUCUCAAGGCUUUAGAACAGAAGCACCCGAGAGAAAGCAAGAAGCAGGGCAUGCUGGGGGUUUGGAAGAACAGAAACACUAAGGGAUGAGAGUGACUCAUUGAUUGACAACAAGCAGCAUGGAAUGGCUGACAUGGAUUUCAAUUUCCCAGAACAGUCUACUCUCCUCCCUUCCUGGGCCACAGUGUUGGUUACUCAGCUGUGUACUAACUAGCCUCAUGGCAGGCUCUAGAAAUAAAUCUACUUGGUGUGUCUUGG
This 1400-nucleotide long non-coding RNA is filed under the name Cricetulus griseus (Chinese hamster). RNAcentral describes it as "lncRNA (ENSCGRG00015036508.1)". The record is from RNAcentral. Lineage: Eukaryota; Metazoa; Chordata; Mammalia; Rodentia; Cricetidae.